GGGGAUAUAGCUCAGUUGGUGAAGUGCUUGGCUUGCAUGCACAAGGCCCUGGGUUCAAUUCUCAGUACCACCA
This is a non-coding RNA of Ictidomys tridecemlineatus (thirteen-lined ground squirrel), 73 nucleotides long. Lineage: Eukaryota; Metazoa; Chordata; Mammalia; Rodentia; Sciuridae. The record is from Rfam.